Molecule: transfer RNA, 61 nt
Filed under: Xystodesmus sp. YD-2016
Lineage: Eukaryota; Metazoa; Arthropoda; Diplopoda; Polydesmida; Xystodesmidae
Description: tRNA-Ser
Source: RNAcentral
AAGAAUCAGGAAAAAGUGGGCCGCUAACUUGCUUUAAGUUUUUAAAUUAAACUACUGAUUU